AUGCUACCAUUCCAUGAUGCAAGUUUUUUUUUCUCUUUUCUUAGCUCAGUUGCAGUUGUACCACCACUUCUUUUAUAUCUGAGCUCAGUGUGGUGUAAAGAAUUGGAAGAGUUUCUAGGAAUCCCAUUACCUGGCAGGAAGCAAAAAACUUCAUUGUCUGUAAAAUGGAAGAGGAGGAGAGCAGCAGAGGGAAGAGCCCUGGCUGGAAUUUCCUGUGUUGUUCUGCAUAUGCAGGUUCAACAAACUGAAAGCAGGACAAGAGAGGAAUAAUAAUUGUGGAAUCCUGAGAAGAAAUAAUUUAUAGCAGAUACCACCAGGCAAAUCUGAUAUUGGAAAAAAUAAACUGAGAUGCACCUAUGUGAUACUUUCAAAUACAGAAAAUGCUGCUCAGCAUUCAUAUUAGAAAUUGUUAUCAAUUCAGAAUCCUUGUCAUCUCAGGGAAAUUUGUGAAAUGCUGUCCUAAAGACCUCUUUGGUUCUGACUUUUUCUCCAUGGGAGUACUGAUCACAUGGAAACCUAAAGCCCUCAGCCAGCUCCUACUCUGAAAAAAUGCUUAAUUUAUGAAUUCUCAAAAAAUCGGUUUAUAGAGGAGACCUUCUGCUAUUUAUUGUUUAUUUCACACUGUUUAUUGGUAGUUUCUAUGUUGUUUCAUUUUGAGAGGAGACAGUAUAUUUAGGGUAGAGAUUUAAGCCACGCAAGGUGAAAAACAGGGAUGAAGCUGGAGAAGGAAGAGGAACUUGUCAAAGCCUGUAGAGAGGAAGUGAGGAUAAUUAAUCAGACAAAUGGAGACAGAGCAGGUGUGCAGAGGGAAUAGUCUGAUGGAAUAAAAAAUGAAUGUCAGAAGAG
RNAcentral lists this long non-coding RNA (846 nucleotides) under Taeniopygia guttata (zebra finch). RNAcentral describes it as "lncRNA (ENSTGUG00000022201.1)". Lineage: Eukaryota; Metazoa; Chordata; Aves; Passeriformes; Estrildidae. The record is from RNAcentral.